RNAcentral lists this ribosomal RNA (483 nucleotides) under uncultured bacterium. Its description in RNAcentral is "partial 16S ribosomal RNA". It matches the Rfam family "Bacterial small subunit ribosomal RNA", at positions 28 to 507 of the family's 1533-position model. The record is from RNAcentral.
GACGAACGCUGGCGGCGUGCUUAACACAUGCAAGUCGAACGCUGAAGCUCAGCUUUUGUUGGGUGGAUGAGUGGCGAACGGGUGAGUAACACGUGAGUAACCUGCCCCCUUCUUUGGGAUAACGCCCGGAAACGGGUGCUAAUACUGGAUAUUCACUGGUCUUCGCAUGGGGGUUGGUGGAAAGGGUUUUUCUGGUGGGGGAUGGGCUCGCGGCCUAUCAGCUUGUUGGUGGGGUGAUGGCCUACCGAGGCUUUGACGGGUAGCCGGCCUGAGAGGGUGACCGGUCACAGUGGGACGGAGAUACGGCCCAGACUCCGACGGGAGGCGGCAGUGGGGAAAAUUGCACAAUGGGCGCAAGCCUGAUGCAGCGACGCCGCGGGAGGGAUGGAGGCCUUCGAGUUCUGAACCUCGUUCGCUCAUGAUCAAGCCGCAACAAUGGUUGUGGUGACGGUAGUGGGUAAAGAAGCGCCGGCUAACUACGUG